GACGAACGCUGGCGGCGUGCCUAACACAUGCAAGUCGAACGGAACCGGGGGCAACUCCGGUUCAGUGGCGGACGGGUGCGUAACACGUGAGGAACAUGACCUUCGGCGGGGGAGUAGCCGGCCCAACGGCCGGGUAUACCGCGUACGACCUUUCGGGGACAUCCUCGGAUGGUGAAAGCAGCAAUGCGCCGAUGGAGUGCCUCGCGGCCUAUCAGCUAGUUGGUGGGGUAACGGCCCACCAAGGCAACGACGGGUAGCUGGUCUGAGAGGAUGGCCAGCCACAUUGGGACUGAGACACGGCCCAGACUCCUACGGGAGGCAGCAGUGGGGAAUAUUGCGCAAUGGGCGAAAGCCUGACGCAGCGACGCCGCGUGUGGGAUGACGGUCUUCGGA
RNAcentral lists this ribosomal RNA (393 nucleotides) under uncultured bacterium. RNAcentral's name for it is "bacterial SSU rRNA". It matches the Rfam family "Bacterial small subunit ribosomal RNA", at positions 28 to 422 of the family's 1533-position model. The record is from RNAcentral.